ACGCUGGCGGCGUGCUUAACACAUGCAAGUCGAGCGGUAAGGCCUUUCGGGGUACACGAGCGGCGAACGGGUGAGUAACACGUGGGUGAUCUGCCCUGCACUUCGGGAUAAGCCUGGGAAACUGGGUCUAAUACCGGAUAUGACCUCCUAUCGCAUGGUGGGUGGUGGAAAGAUUUAUCGGUGCAGGAUGGGCCCGCGGCCUAUCAGCUUGUUGGUGGGGUAAUGGCCUACCAAGGCGACGACGGGUAGCCGACCUGAGAGGGUGACCGGCCACACUGGGACUGAGACACGGCCCAGACUCCUACGGGAGGCAGCAGUGGGGAAUAUUGCACAAUGGGCGAAAGCCUGAUGCAGCGACGCCGCGUGAGGGAUGACGGCCUUCGGGUUGUAAACCUCUUUCAGCAGGGACGAAGCGCAAGUGACGGUACCUGCAGAAGAAGCACCGGCUAACUACGUGCCAGCAGCCGCGGUAAUACGUAGGGUGCAAGCGUUGUCCGGAAAUUACUGGGCGUAAAGAGUUCGUAGGCGGUUUGUCGCGUCGUUUGUGAAAACCAGCAGCUCAACUGCUGGCUUGCAGGCGAUACGGGCAGACUUGAGUACUGCAGGGGAGACUGGAAUUCCUGGUGUAGCGGUGAAAUGCGCAGAUAUCAGGAGGAACACCGGUGGCGAAGGCGGGUCUCUGGGCAGUAACUGACGCUGAGGAACGAAAGCGUGGGUAGCGAAC
This 724-nucleotide ribosomal RNA is filed under the name uncultured bacterium. Its description in RNAcentral is "bacterial SSU rRNA". It matches the Rfam family "Bacterial small subunit ribosomal RNA", at positions 33 to 773 of the family's 1533-position model. The record is from RNAcentral.